AUUAAUUUGAGAGUUUGAUCCUGGCUCAGGACGAACGCUGGCGGCGUGCCUAAUACAUGCAAGUCGAACGAACUCUGGUAUUGAUUGGUGCUUGCAUCAUGAUUUACAUUUGAGUGAGUGGCGAACUGGUGAGUAACACGUGGGAAACCUGCCCAGAAGCGGGGGAUAACACCUGGAAACAGAUGCUAAUACCGCAUAACAACUUGGACCGCAUGGUCCGAGCUUGAAAGAUGGCUUCGGCUAUCACUUUUGGAUGGUCCCGCGGCGUAUUAGCUAGAUGGUGGGGUAACGGCUCACCAUGGCAAUGAUACGUAGCCGACCUGAGAGGGUAAUCGGCCACAUUGGGACUGAGACACGGCCCAAACUCCUACGGGAGGCAGCAGUAGGGAAUCUUCCACAAUGGACGAAAGUCUGAUGGAGCAACGCCGCGUGAGUGAAGAAGGGUUUCGGCUCGUAAAACUCUGUUGUUAAAGAAGAACAUAUCUGAGAGUAACUGUUCAGGUAUUGACGGUAUUUAACCAGAAAGCCACGGCUAACUACGUGCCAGCAGCCGCGGUAAUACGUAGGUGGCAAGCGUUGUCCGGAUUUAUUGGGCGUAAAGCGAGCGCAGGCGGUUUUUUAAGUCUGAUGUGAAAGCCUUCGGCUCAACCGAAGAAGUGCAUCGGAAACUGGGAAGCUUGAGUGCAGAAGAGGACAGUGGAACUCCAUGUGUAGCGGUGAAAUGCGUAGAUAUAUGGAAGAACACCAGUGGCGAAGGCGGCUGUCUGGUCUGUAACUGACGCUGAGGCUCGAAAGUAUGGGUAGCAAACAGGAUUAGAUACCCUGGUAGUCCAUACCGUAAACGAUGAAUGCUAAGUGUUGGGGGGUUUCCGCCCUUCAGUGCUGCAGCUAACGCAUUAAGCAUUCCGCCUGGGGAGUACGGCCGCAAGGCUGAAACUCAAAGGAAUUGACGGGGGCCCGCACAAGCGGUGGAGCAUGUGGUUUAAUUCGAAGCUACGCGAAGAACCUUACCAGGUCUUGACAUACUAUGCAAAUCUAAGAGAUUAGACGUUCCCUUCGGGGACAUGGAUACAGGUGGUGCAUGGUUGUCGUCAGCUCGUGUCGUGAGAUGUUGGGUUAAGUCCCGCAACGAGCGCAACCCUUAUUAUCAGUUGCCAGCAUUAAGUUGGGCACUCUGGUGAGACUGCCGGUGACAAACCGGAGGAAGGUGGGGAUGACGUCAAAUCAUCAUGCCCCUUAUGACCUGGGCUACACACGUGCUACAAUGGAUGGUACAACGAGUUGCGAACUCGCGAGAGUAAGCUAAUCUCUUAAAGCCAUUCUCAGUUCGGAUUGUAGGCUGCAACUCGCCUACAUGAAGUCGGAAUCGCUAGUAAUCGCGGAUCAGCAUGCCGCGGUGAAUACGUUCCCGGGCCUUGUACACACCGCCCGUCACACCAUGAGAGUUUGUAACACCCAAAGUCGGUGGGGUAACCUUUUAGGAACCAGCCGCCUAAGGUGGGACAGAUGAUUAGGGUGAAGUCGUAACAAGGUAGCCGUAGGAGAACCUGCGGCUGGAUCACCUCCUUUCU
Molecule: ribosomal RNA, 1571 nt
Filed under: Lactiplantibacillus plantarum DOMLa
Lineage: Bacteria; Bacillati; Bacillota; Bacilli; Lactobacillales; Lactobacillaceae
Description: Lactobacillus plantarum DOMLa 16S ribosomal RNA
Rfam family: Bacterial small subunit ribosomal RNA
Source: RNAcentral